This 259-nucleotide unclassified non-coding RNA is filed under the name uncultured fungus. RNAcentral's name for it is "sequence contains ITS1". Lineage: Eukaryota; Fungi. The record is from RNAcentral.
GUAUAACAAUUUCCAUAUAUAUAUAUAUCAUUCUAUGUGACUGGAGUAUAUGUAAAAAUAUAGAUCACAAGGAAAGCCCGCAAGUAUUUUGCAAAGCAAACCCCCCAUUCGUCCGCAAAGGACAUUGAUCCACACAAGAGGUGCACAAAUGAGAUGGAGAAAUGAAGAACAACAAGCGUGCACAACCCUCGCAUGGGGGCCAGCGACAACUCGUCAUGCUAUUUCGAUAAUGAUCCUUCCGCAGGUUCACCUACGGAAA